CGUACCUCGUGCCUCGCUGGCGCGCACUACCGGCGGGGGAAGGCCUCCGUGUCCCCUUCCAGAACCUUCCUCCGAAGUGCUUUGACGUCGUUGCCCUUCCCCGCGUCGUUGCCCUAGUACGGCGCCGUCGGAUGGCGGCCACGCCGCCGUCCGCCGCCCGAAGUCGUCACGCCGCUCAGAGCUUCGCUGUCGUUGGCCACCGCGACGCCGCCCUCGCCUCCGAGCCCACGCUAUGUAAUGCGGUUUAAUUUAUGUCAUACCCGAGCUACGAUCAGGAAGACCUUCAAGACCCCAACUACGAUGAGGAGGAUCUGAACAGCUACGGACAAGGUUCGGAGCCCAACUAUGACUUUGACAACGACGGCUGGGAGGACUAGGGAUCAUGCUUCGGUCGAGUCGCCUGUGAAGACGGAGUUCACCAUAGCUUCUAUUUCCACUGCGUAGAUGUUUUACCUUUCUUAAUUCAGUCCUGUUGGACUUGUACUGGCAUGUGCCGCUAAGAUGUACUCGUACUGAUGAUAUUGUACUAUAUUUCUCUGAUGUUUCUGUGUGUA
Setaria italica (foxtail millet) is the source of this 554-nucleotide long non-coding RNA. RefSeq lists it as uncharacterized. The record is from RefSeq and is a predicted model, not a curated record. NCBI's taxonomy places the organism in Eukaryota, Viridiplantae, Streptophyta, Magnoliopsida, Poales, Poaceae. The transcript has 3 exons.